ACUCCUACGGGAGGCAGCAGUGGGAAUAUUGCACAAUGGGGAAAGCCAUCGAUGCAGCCAUGCCGCGUGUGUGAAGAAGGCCUUCGGGUUGUAAAGCACUUUCAGUAGGGAGGAAGGUAGUGUAGUUAAUAGCUGCAUUAUUUGACGUUAGCUGCAGAAGAAGCACCGGCUAACUCCGUGCCAGCAGCCGCGGUAAUACGGAGGGUGCGAGCGUUAAUCGGAAUUACUGGGCGUAAAGCGCAUGCAGGUGGUUUGUUAAGUCAGAUGUGAAAGCCCGGGGCUCAACCUCGGAAUAGCAUUUGAAACUGGCAGACUAGAGUACU
Molecule: ribosomal RNA, 323 nt
Filed under: uncultured bacterium
Lineage: Bacteria
Description: bacterial SSU rRNA
Rfam family: Bacterial small subunit ribosomal RNA
Source: RNAcentral